AGCAGCAUUGUACAGGGCUA
This 20-nucleotide non-coding RNA is filed under the name Xenopus tropicalis (tropical clawed frog). Lineage: Eukaryota; Metazoa; Chordata; Amphibia; Anura; Pipidae. RNAcentral also lists the same sequence under 2 other names. The record is from RNAcentral.